This 195-nucleotide non-coding RNA is filed under the name Aureoumbra lagunensis. The record is from RNAcentral. Lineage: Eukaryota; Pelagophyceae; Sarcinochrysidales; Sarcinochrysidaceae.
UUAAAUUUAAAAAAAAAAAAAGCAGGUUGGGUUAUGAGAAGUAAAUGAAAGUAGAUUUAUGUAUAAGUUCUAGCUCAUAGGGCUAGUAUGAUGAUAUACGCGUCUGAUCAAUAUCGGGCUCAAUUAAAACAGUAUACCAUACAAUAAGAUACGAUAAGCAGAGCAACGAUGAGAGCGCAUAAUGACAAUAUGCAU